UACGAAGGGGGCUAGCGUUGCUCGGAAUUACUGGGCGUAAAGGGCGCGCAGGCGGCCUUAGAAGUCAGAUGUGAAAGCCCCGGGCUCAACCUGGGAAUGGCAUUUGAUACUCUGAGGCUGGAGUACGGGAGAGGAGAGUGGAAUUCCCAGUGUAGAGGUGAAAUUCGUAGAUAUUGGGAAGAACACCGGUGGCGAAGGCGGCUCUCUGGACCGUAACUGACGCUGAGGCGCGAAAGCGUGGGGAGCAAACAGG
RNAcentral lists this ribosomal RNA (253 nucleotides) under uncultured bacterium. Its description in RNAcentral is "partial 16S ribosomal RNA". It matches the Rfam family "Bacterial small subunit ribosomal RNA", at positions 524 to 776 of the family's 1533-position model. The record is from RNAcentral.